RNAcentral lists this ribosomal RNA (464 nucleotides) under uncultured Rhodocyclaceae bacterium. RNAcentral's name for it is "partial 16S ribosomal RNA". It matches the Rfam family "Bacterial small subunit ribosomal RNA", at positions 338 to 794 of the family's 1533-position model. The record is from RNAcentral. Lineage: Bacteria; Pseudomonadati; Pseudomonadota; Betaproteobacteria; Rhodocyclales; Rhodocyclaceae.
CCUACGGGAGGCAGCAGUGGGGAAUCUUGGGCAAUGGGCGAAAGCCUGACCCAGCGACGCCGCGUGAGUGAAGAAGGCCUUCGGGUUGUAAAGCUCUUUCGGCAGGAACGAAACGGCGGACUCUAACAUAGUCUGUCAAUGACGGUACCUGAAGAAGAAGCACCGGCUAACUACGUGCCAGCAGCCGCGGUAAUACGUAGGGUGCGAGCGUUAAUCGGAAUUACUGGGCGUAAAGCGUGCGCAGGCGGCUUUGUAAGAAGGAGGUGAAAUCCCGGGGCUUAACCGAGGAACUGCGUUCGUGACUGCAAAGCUAGAGUGCGGAAGAGGGGGGUGGAAUUCCUGGUGUAGCAGUAAAAUGCGUAGAGAUCAGGAGGAACACCGAUGGCGAAGGCGGCCCCCGGGGUUUACACUGACGCUCAUGCACGAAAGCGUGGGGAGCAAACAGGAUUAGAUACCCUGGUAGU